Molecule: ribosomal RNA, 513 nt
Filed under: uncultured bacterium
Lineage: Bacteria
Description: partial 16S ribosomal RNA
Rfam family: Bacterial small subunit ribosomal RNA
Source: RNAcentral
GACGAACGCUGGCGGCAUGCCUAAUACAUGCAAGUCGAGCGAACAGAUGAAGUGCUUGCACUUCUGACGUUAGCGGCGAACGGGUGAGUAACACGUAAGGAAUCUACCUAUAAGCGGGGGAUAACAUUCGGAAACGGGUGCUAAUACCGCAUAAUAUCUUCUUCCGCAUGGAAGAAGAUUGAAAGGCGGCUCUGCUGUCACUUAUAGAUGACCUUGCGGUGCAUUAGUUAGUUGGUGGGGUAACGGCCUACCAAGACGAUGAUGCAUAGCCGACCUGAGAGGGUGAUCGGCCACAUUGGGACUGAGACACGGCCCAAACUCCUACGGGAGGCAGCAGUAGGGGAUCUUCCGCAAUGGGCGAAAGCCUGACGGAGCAAUGCCGCGUGAGUGAAGAAGGCCUUCGGGUCGUAAAACUCUGUUAUAAGAGAAGAACAAAUUGUAGAGUAACUGCUACAGUCUUGACGGUAUCUUAUCAGAAAGCCACGGCUAACUACGUGCCAGCCGCCGCCGUAA